AAAGCACUAGCAUAUGAUGUCUGAAAAAUUACACAACAGCCUCAGACUGGUCGGACCCUUCAGGAUGAAUUCCGGAAGAAGACAUUGCUGUCAUAGGAGAUGACAGCUCCAAGCGUUAUUACCCCUUCAUGAAGAUGUUUCAGUGGGACAAGAUGUGAAGGUGGAAGACAAUGAUAUUGAUGAUCCUGACCCUGUGCAAGCCUAAGCUAAUAUGUGUGUUUGUGUCUUAGUUUUUAACAAAAAGUUUAAAAAGCAGACAAAAAAAUUGU
Molecule: long non-coding RNA, 269 nt
Filed under: Homo sapiens (human)
Lineage: Eukaryota; Metazoa; Chordata; Mammalia; Primates; Hominidae
Description: non-protein coding lnc-IMMP2L-1:13
Source: RNAcentral